CCUACGGGGGGCUGCAGUGGGGAAUAUUCCACAAUGGGGGAAACUCUGAUGCAGCGACGCCGCGUGAGUGAAGAAGUAUUUCGGUACGUAAAGCUCUAUCAGCAGGGAAGAAAAUGACGGUUAGUGACUAAGAAGCCCCGGCUAACUACGUGCCAGCAGCCGCGGUAAUACGUAGGGGGCAAGCGUUGGCCGGAUUUACUGGGUGUAAAGGGAGCGGAGACGGCAGCACAAGUCUGGAGUGAAAGGCCGGGGCUUAACCCCGGAGCUGCUUUGGAAACUGUGCAGCUUGAGUGCAGGAGAGGUGAGUGGAAUUCCUAGUGUAGCGGUGAAAUGCGUAGAUAUUAGGAGGAACACCAGUGGCGAAGGCGGCUUACUGGACUGUAACUGACGUUGAGGCUCGAAAGCGUGGGGAGCAAACAGGAUUAGAUACCCCUGUAGUC
RNAcentral lists this ribosomal RNA (440 nucleotides) under uncultured bacterium. RNAcentral describes it as "partial 16S ribosomal RNA". It matches the Rfam family "Bacterial small subunit ribosomal RNA", at positions 338 to 795 of the family's 1533-position model. The record is from RNAcentral.